GUAGUUAGCCGGGGCUUCCUCCUUGGCUACCGUCACUUUCUUCGUCACCAAGGACAGAGGUUUACAACCCGAAAGCCUUCUUCCCUCACGCGGCGUUGCUGGGUCAGGCUUGCGCCCAUUGCCCAAUAUUCCCCACUGCUGCCUCCCGUAGGAGUCUGGACCGUGUCUCAGUUCCAGUGUGGCCGAUCAGCCUCUCAGCUCGGCUAUCCAUCGUUGGCUAGGUGGGCCGUUACCCCGCCUACUACCUAAUGGGACGCGAACCCCUCCUUUAGCGGAUUUCUCCUUUGACCUCUGUGUCAUGCGGCACUGUGGUCUUAUGCGGUAUUAGCACCUGUUUCCAAGUGUUAUCCCCCUCAGAAAGUCAGGUUGCUCACGCGUUACUCACCCGUCCGCCACUAAGCUAAAUCCGAAAACUUAGCUCCGUUCGACUUGCAUGUGUUAGGCACGCCGCCAGCGUUCGUCCUGAGCCAGAUCAAACUCUGA
RNAcentral lists this ribosomal RNA (483 nucleotides) under uncultured bacterium. RNAcentral's name for it is "partial 16S ribosomal RNA". The record is from RNAcentral.